Molecule: ribosomal RNA, 407 nt
Filed under: uncultured bacterium
Lineage: Bacteria
Description: bacterial SSU rRNA
Rfam family: Bacterial small subunit ribosomal RNA
Source: RNAcentral
UGAGGAAGUAUUAGCACGAAUAGGAGGAAACUACUGAUGCAGCAACGCCGCGUGGAGGAUGACGCAUUUCGGUGUGUAAACUCCUUUUAUGAGUCAAGAAAAUGACGGUAGCUCAUGAAUAAGCACCGGCUAACUCCGUGCCAGCAGCCGCGGUAAUACGGAGGGUGCAAGCGUUAUUCGGAAUCACUGGGCGUAAAGGACGCGUAGGCGGGAUGCCAAGUCUGAUGUGAAAUCCUAUGGCUUAACCAUAGAACUGCAUUGGAAACUGGUGACCUAGAGUAUGGGAGGGGGAGAUGGAAUUAGUGGUGUAGGGGUAAAAUCCGUAGAUAUCACUAGGAAUACCGAAAGCGAAGGCGAUCUCCUGGAACAAUACUGACGCUAAGGCGUGAAAGCGUGGGGAGCAAACG